UGAACUUUAAAGGAAGCGAUGUGGUUUAUUCAGAAGUCCAGAGCAUCCAAAAAGAAAAGAGAUGUGCAGUGGCCUCCCCAUCUGGGCUUCUCAAGGACAAGGACUCCUCAGUCAUCUACACCCAAGUGAAGGUCACAUCAAAUCCCCACUCCCAGCCCCAGCUCUUGGCAUCGCUGGC
Long non-coding RNA from Echinops telfairi (small Madagascar hedgehog), 178 nucleotides. RefSeq lists it as uncharacterized. The transcript has 3 exons. The record is from RefSeq and is a predicted model, not a curated record. NCBI's taxonomy places the organism in Eukaryota, Metazoa, Chordata, Mammalia, Afrosoricida, Tenrecidae.